RNAcentral lists this ribosomal RNA (419 nucleotides) under uncultured bacterium. Its description in RNAcentral is "bacterial SSU rRNA". It matches the Rfam family "Bacterial small subunit ribosomal RNA", at positions 355 to 773 of the family's 1533-position model. The record is from RNAcentral.
UAAGGAAUAUUGCUCAAUGGGAGAAAUCCUGAAGCAGCAACGCCGCGUGGAGGAUGAAGGGUCUAUGACUUGUAAACUCCUGUAAAGAAGGAAAAAAUUCCCAUUUGAUGGGAGAUGAUGGUACUUCUGGAGUAAGCCCCGGCUAACUACGUGCCAGCAGCCGCGGUAAUACGUAGGGGGCAAGCGUUGUCCGGAUUUACUGGGUGUAAAGGGUGCUCAGGCGGAUUUGUAAGUCAGAGGUGAAAUCUUACAGCUUAACUGUGAAACUGCCUUUGAUACUGCAAGACUCGAGUAUGGAAGAGAGUGAUGGAAUAUCUGGUGUAGCAGUGAAAUGCGUAGAUAUCAGAUAGAACACCAAUGGCGAAGGCAGUCACUUGGUCCAUUACUGACGCUAAAGCACGAAAGCGUGGGUAGCAAAC